UGCAUAUAUCCUUCUUCUCCUUCUUCUUUUCUUUUUCUCUUUUUCUUUCAGUUUUUGCGCAAGACUCCUUUCAGUCUGCAAAAAUUUUUGCAUUUUUUUUCCUUUCAGUUUCGCAAUUUUUUUUCUUUCUUCCUCAGUUCAUGCGAUUUUUAUUUUGCUUUCAUUUAUGCUUUCAAUAACACACACGGCCACCAAUCUUCUUCUUUUUGUUUUGCUCUACUCAAAAUGAUGAACUAUGUUGGAUGAGUUUUUCUUUCCAUGACCCCAUUGAUGUGAUGACUCUUUAAACUUUUGUUGAAUCAAUUGUAGUGAGUUAUAUUCAUGUUUGAG
This 330-nucleotide long non-coding RNA is filed under the name Manihot esculenta (cassava). RNAcentral's name for it is "long non-coding RNA (MESC_LNC002340)". Lineage: Eukaryota; Viridiplantae; Streptophyta; Magnoliopsida; Malpighiales; Euphorbiaceae. The record is from RNAcentral.